UGUGUUUUAUAUUAAACGCAGUCCUUCAUAUUUAAAGUGUCAGAUGUGGCACUAAAAAUGAACAACAUCAACUAAUCAACAAACAGCAGAAACCCACACUGUGAGAAAGACUCCACACUUCUGACUGAUGUUCAUGUCCACUUUAUUCCUCAUAGAUAAAAUUGAAACAGAACAAUGAAAACCAAAAUAAAAAACAGGAACAGUUCUAAUGUCUACUAGAAAACAUGAAUCACAAGAACACCAGACACAAACACCAGUCUGGUUCUUUAUCCGCCUAUUCCUGAAUAUAUUUUUAGGAAAAUCUUUUCCUCAUUAAAAUUGGUCUAAAAAAUAUAAACUGCAGUUACUACUUUUUGUUUAAAUUAAUAAUCAAAUGUUCACUGAUUACAUAAAAAGUGUCAGGAUUAAAGACGUUUACAAAAUCUUUCUUGUGCUGUCAUGGUAACACACACAUGAACAAACUAAAAAUUGAUUAAAAUAUUUUAAAAAAUUAAAAUAUUUAAAUUAUCUGAAAUAUGAUUGGAGUGAUUGGAUGUGCUGCAGAGGUAGAGUGGUUGACCUCUGAUAGAAGAUCACAGGUUAAAUUACCACUUUGGCCGUCCAUGUGACAAAGUGUCAUUGGAUAAAACUGAACCCCACAUUGAUCCUGGGGGUUAUAGGUUAGUGCCAGUGUGCCAUCAACGUGUGAAUGGGUGUGUGGGGGGGUGAAUGGGACUGAAUGUUUAGUAGUUUAGACUUUCAAAGAAGGUACAUUAGCGGUAUAUUCCAUACGUAUAUGGCAACAUAAAAACAAGGCUUGAAAUAUUUCAUUCUAAAAGUCAUAAUUUCAAAUAAAAUACUAGUUUCUGUCUUCAUGGAAGAAAAUUUGUACUUUUUCCAAAUCUCUUCCUCUGCUCAUGUAAACCCCAUGUUUGUACUGCACACGUUCUCUGCUCCAAGUUUUCUUGCGCUUAAAGUUUUUAAUGAAUCCUUUAUUAAACUGUUUCAAAAUGUUUUUCUCUUGUGA
This 1006-nucleotide long non-coding RNA is filed under the name Oryzias sinensis (Chinese medaka). Its description in RNAcentral is "lncRNA (ENSOSIG00000002335.1)". The record is from RNAcentral. Lineage: Eukaryota; Metazoa; Chordata; Actinopteri; Beloniformes; Adrianichthyidae.